Molecule: ribosomal RNA, 468 nt
Filed under: uncultured bacterium
Lineage: Bacteria
Description: partial 16S ribosomal RNA
Rfam family: Bacterial small subunit ribosomal RNA
Source: RNAcentral
GACGAACGCUGGCGGCGUGCUUAACACAUGCAAGUCGAACGGAAAGGCCCUGCUUUUGUGGGGUGCUCGAGUGGCGAACGGGUGAGUAACACGUGAGUAACCUGCCUUUGACUUUGGGAUAACUUCAGGAAACUGGGGCUAAUACCGGAUAGGAGCUCCUGCUGCAUGGUGGGGGUUGGAAAGUUUCGGCGGUUGGGGAUGGACUCGCGGCUUAUCAGCUUGUUGGUGGGGGAGUGGCUUACCAAGGCUUUGACGGGUAGCCGGCCUGAGAGGGUGACCGGCCACAUUGGGACUGAGGUGCGACCCGGACUCCUACGGGAGGCAGCAGUGGGGAAUAUUGCACAAGGGGCGGAGGCCUGAUGCAGCAACGCCGCGUGCGGGAUGUCGGCCUUCGGGUUGUAAACCGCUUUCGCCUGUGACGAAGCGUGAGUGACGGUAAUGGGUAAAGAAGCACCGGCUAACUACGUG